UCCUGGCGACACUGAAACACGUUCGCCAGAUCAGCAGCACCAUCAACAGCAGCAGCAAGUGAAGCCCUUUAACCGCCACGGGUCUGACUUUCGUGUCAAUGGCACGAAAGCCCCCGACGACCCCUCACGCGCUUCGUCAUUUGCGUGUGAGCCCCUUCCACCGCCACAGCACCAGCAGCCAGCACCUAUGUCGCCACCAUUGGUGCCGCGGCUUCGGCUGUCGCCGCUGCCCUCCACCUCCUUCACCUCCACCUUCGCUUCCACCCUAGACUCCACUUCAAAUU
RNAcentral lists this long non-coding RNA (284 nucleotides) under Chlamydomonas reinhardtii. RNAcentral's name for it is "long non-coding RNA (CREI_LNC000841)". The record is from RNAcentral. Lineage: Eukaryota; Viridiplantae; Chlorophyta; Chlorophyceae; Chlamydomonadales; Chlamydomonadaceae.